RNAcentral lists this ribosomal RNA (447 nucleotides) under uncultured bacterium. Its description in RNAcentral is "bacterial SSU rRNA". It matches the Rfam family "Bacterial small subunit ribosomal RNA", at positions 355 to 825 of the family's 1533-position model. The record is from RNAcentral.
UGGGGAAUCUUGGACAAUGGGCGCAAGCCUGAUCCAGCCAUGCCGCGUGGAUGAUGAAGGCCUUAGGGUUGUAAAAUCCUUUCGUGGGGGACGAUAAUGACGGUACCCCAAGAAGAAGCUCCGGCUAACUUCGUGCCAGCAGCCGCGGUAAUACGAAGGGGGCUAGCGUUGUUCGGAUUUACUGGGCGUAAAGCGCGUGUAGGCGGGUCGUUAAGUUGGGGGUGAAAUCCCGAGGCUCAACCUCGGAACUGCCUUCAAAACUGGCGACCUGGACUCAAGCAGAGGCAAGUGGAAUUGCGAGUGUAGAGGUGAAAUUCGUAGAUAUUCGCAGGAACACCAGUGGCGAAGGCGACUUGCUGGGCUUGUAGUGACGCUGAGACGCGAAAGCGUGGGGAGCAAACAGGAUUAGAUACCCAUGUAGUCCCUGAGCGGGCUGGCAAGGCGCAU